CGCUGGCGGCGUGCUUAACACAUGCAAGUCGAACGGGGAUUAGUUGGUUGAGAGCUCGGCAGGAUACCGAUUAAUUCGAGUGGCGGACGGGUGAGUAACGCGUGAGCAACCUGUCCCAGACAGGGGGAUAACACUUGGAAACAGGUGCUAAUACCGCAUAAGACCACAGUAGGACAUCCUACAGGGGUAAAAGGAGCAAUCCGGUUUGGGGUGGGCUCGCGUCCGAUUAGAUAGUUGGUGAGGUAACGGCCCACCAAGGCUACGAUCAGUAGGGGUUCUGAGAGGAAGGUCCCCCACAUUGGAACUGAGACACGGUCCAAACUCCUACGGGAGGCAGCAGUGAGGAAUAUUGGUCAAUGGGCGAGAGCCUGAACCAGCCAAGUAGCGUGCAAGGAUGACGGCCCUAUGGGUUGUAAACUGCUUUUGUACGGGAAUAAAGUCAUCCACGUGUGGAUGUUUGCAUGUACCGUAAGAAUAAGGACCGGCUAAUUCCGUGCCAGCAGCCGC
Molecule: ribosomal RNA, 507 nt
Filed under: uncultured bacterium
Lineage: Bacteria
Description: bacterial SSU rRNA
Rfam family: Bacterial small subunit ribosomal RNA
Source: RNAcentral